RNAcentral lists this long non-coding RNA (4985 nucleotides) under Citrus sinensis (sweet orange). RNAcentral describes it as "long non-coding RNA (CSIN_LNC001305)". The record is from RNAcentral. Lineage: Eukaryota; Viridiplantae; Streptophyta; Magnoliopsida; Sapindales; Rutaceae.
UUGCAGUUGUUGAUGGAGCGGGCGUUCAGGGCGUCGGCGGGAGUGAGACACGUGGCGGCGAAGACGCCGGGGUUUUUGUUGGCGAAGAUUGCGACGCCGACUCCGGUUCCGCAGGCGACGAGGCCACGUGUGGUGGUGUCGGAGGAAUCGGAGGAGGAGACGCCGCGGCCGACCUCGGCGCCGAUGGAGUAGUAAUCGGAGGUGCCGAGAUCUUCCACGUCUAUGUUGAGUGACCGGAGGUGGGAGACCAGAGCGUCUUUCAAUUCGGCGCCGAAGGAGUCGGCGCCUGCGAUGAUCUUGAGAGGGCUGGGAGCGGCAGCGGCGGCGUUUUCAGCCAUGGUUCACUACGAGUUGACUAUUCCGAGGGAUGAGUUCAGUGGAGAGUCAGUAAGUCUACAUUCUGGGCGAAUGGUGUGAUGUCAAUUAUCGAUUUUCAUGCAGAAAUGGAUAAUUUACUCCAUGUCCUUGUCGUUUCACCAAAUUUAAAAUAAUCAAAGAAAGGUUUAAAUCAAUCAAAAAAACUUUUCUUUGUGAAAUUCGCUAAAAAAUAGUGGCUUUUGUAAUGUUAUACCGAUUAUAUACUUAAAGUAACUCAUUAUCAUUAUCAAUAUUAAUUCAAUCAAAAUUUCUUUAUUUAUUCAUUUAUUAAUUUUAUAUCAAGUUAUUAAUCAAUCAAAAUGUGUAUAUUUGUUAAUUUCGUUAUAAUUAUUUUAAAAUAAAUCACUUAUUUUUGUUAGUAUUUAUAUACUCUAAAUGUAAGUAAGUUUUUUAAUUAUCAACAAUUACAUCAUAGCUUGAACAAAUAUAUAUAUAGUGGGUCAAACUUGUCUUUAACAUUGUUUAUAUUUUAAUUAGAGUGAUAAACUUGUCUUUAAUAGUGGGUCAAACUUGUUCGAGGGACUUAUUUGUUAAUUUCAUAAACAAUGAGUACCUACAUGUAAAUUUUCUUAUUACGUAAAAAUUAUUGUUUUAUAUAUUUUUUUUAUCAGAGAUAAAAAAAUAAGAGUAAAUUAAUUUUUUUUAUAAGAUCUUAUUAAAUUACAUUAUAAUAUAACUUACAUCAACCAUUAAUUUAUAAGUAGUGACUAAAAAUAAAACCAAUUAAAUUAUUUUUUUAGAUCACUAAUUAUAUCUUUUGAGUUAGUAUAAGUUACAUUAUAGGGUCCAGCUACUAUACCCAUGAGGUUUGGUACCCCAUUCUUUUGUCUUUUUCAAAUCCACCGUUGGAUUUAACGUGAGAGUUGAAUAAUGGUUAGAUGUGAUUAUUGGGUCAUUAGCAUUAAUUUACUAAUCAUAAUUGAUGAUAAAUAUAAAUAUGAUUUUUUUAAAUUUAAUACGGCAACCAAUUUUCUUUCACCCAUGUGAGCAGGGUUCAAACCCCAUAACCUUUUUUUUUUUUUUCAAGCAAUAAAUUUNNNNNNNNNNNNNNNNNNNNNNNNNNNNNNNNNNNNNNNAACUCUGCUGUACGGCCAAGGCGGAUGUACGGUACAGCAGUUUUUUCUCAAGCAAGAGAUUUUAUAUGUCAAGUAGAUGGAAUACACAAAAUACGAAAAUAAAUUUAAUUUCUGCUGUACGGCCAAGGCGGAUGUACGGUACAGCAGGGGCCCCCAGCUAUCACCCUUACUGUAGGCUACUCGCGCCUCAAGUUUCUGUCACUUUGCUCCCUUCACAUGUCGAGGCCACUAUCGGGAAAGUCCCAUCUAUAAAAUGGUCCAGGUACCGAUUUCUCACCAAAUCUUCAACCUGGGUCUUGAGAUCUCUGCAUUCUGCAGUUGUAUGGCCAUGAGUGCCAUGGAACUUACAAUAGCGUCCCCUAUCCCUCCUGCUGGGUAGCUUUGUUAUUGGGGCAGGGAGGUAACAUUAUAAUAUAACUUAACAACAUCUUUUUUAUAACACUGUGCUUAUUAUUGGCCUGACACUUUUCCGUAUUAAAAUUAUUGUUUCAAAUAAAGAAAUUGAAGUUAAUUUCAGAAAACAAUUUUUUUCAAAAAUUAAAAAACAAAUCCACAAAUUUCAAGGAUAAGCGGCGGAGGAUAAGAUCAGAAAUGGCGGGAACCGUUGGUUUGGGCUUGGGCAAACCCAUCAAAACGUUAAUCGCCGUUCGAUCCUGGGGAGUAUCGAUGACAUCAAACGCUGCUCAGGCACGGUGAACGGACGGCAACAAGAACACCAACAACAAAACUGCAACUCCCCAGUUUCUGGAAUUUGCAGUCAGUGGGGUCACUGAGCUUCUAAGGCUAUUCUCAUCCUUCGAUAAAGGCAGGUAAUUUACUUAUGAAGCUAUCAUCUCUGUUCUGUUUGGUUGCCAAGAAAAUGCCGGAAUACCCACCGGAAAGAUAAGGGAAAAUAUUGCAUAAUUGAUAAAAUUCAUCAGUUUAGUUUGCAUAUUUAAUAUUUUAUGUUUCGUUAGGUGUUUGCAGGUUGGAUAGAGUGAGUUAUAAACAAAAAGAUGAGAUUUUGGUUAAAUAAUUAAGCUACAAAAGAUAAAAACAAAAAUUAAAUUCUGCCCAAUUAAAUAAUUUAAAUAAAUUUAUCAAAGACAACUUAAAUUGCACGUGCGUACGUGCACUGGAGGGCCAGUUUGGGAUUUGUCAGAAUUUAUAAUAGAUUUUACUUAAAAUUCCGCACGAAAAUCAAUUGAAAUAGAGCCAAGAUCAGGUUCACUUUAGAAAUUAAAUAGCGAUCAAAACCAUUGCUUGCCCCCAAAGUAACAUGCACACCAACACAAAGACAUCAUGGAUUGGAUUACAAUUAACUUCAUUGGAGAUAAUAGGAAUUAGUAGAGAAAUAAAAAUGUUACUAAUAGGGAGAUACAAAGUGUAUUUAGAUGAACAUCCACAUUAAAUUUUAAUAUUUUCAUUACAUAAUUUCAUAAGAAUUUUGAAACUAGAAGGGAUCCUAACAUUUAGAAUUUAAUGUUAAGAGGUGGGUAAAAUCAACCAAUUUUUUUAAUCCAGGAGAAUUUAAACUCGACUGGCCAGCCAAAUAAUGUUGCUUGAAAUCCACUUGGCCAGGUCCCUAAUGUCAAGUUACCAUUCAACUUGCAUAUGGUUUAAGUAAAACUGGGAAGAAAUAUUAGUAGAAAUUUAUGGCUAAACAUGAUAUGUAGGGUAGAAACUAGUGUUUUUCUUAGAGCCAAUUUGGAAACAGAGAUGCUACUACAGUUAUUCUCCUUGAGUUUGAGUUAAACACUGAUAUCAAAAUGCAUAUGAAUUACACACUUGCGCCAAGAUUAGAAAUUUCGAUUGCCAAUUCACAAUGCAUAUUCACACACAUAAUUGGAGCAAUUGCCACAUAAGUAUCAACUAAAAUGGCAAUACAUAAUAAAAAUACAGGAAAAGAGAUCAUUACAAAUUCGGCAAGAGUUCGAUAAUAUUAUAUUACUUGGCCAAAAAACACUCAUUAGGUUUACAGCUUUCAAAUGCCUUAAAAUUAAAAUGACAUAAAUGAGUUUUUAAAUUUAAAAAAAAAAAAAAAAAAAAAAAAAAAAUCAGGCUGCAUGCACAUAGGAGUUCACAUUAAGGAGAUCUUGAAAAUCCCAAUGUCACAAGUUCAAAGUAUUGCAGAAUAUAUUUCACGAGAAGAAAGCAGAGACUCCAGAUUAUAGUAUCUACAAUUUAAACACUAUAAAGGGAGCACCUAUAACUCGGUUACAAUUUGUUCAAAGCAAUGGGAAAUGAGGGUGGCAGACAAACACUAAACAUGUAUCAAACUAACACGAACAAACAAUCAAAAUAAUAAUAACGAUCGCAACACAAUCAACAAUCUGAGAACAAAGAGCAUCAAGAUUAUCCAAAAUACAAGUAUAUUCACACUACGCGAUACACAAUUCAAUAUACAAGUUUGUUCAUACUACACAAUACACAAUUCAAUAUACGAGUAUGUUCAUACUUCACAAUACACAAUCUCUUGCACAACAAGCAAACAACUCAUACAUUAUUCAAAAGCAAACCCAUUAUUACCCAAACUUAAUCUGAAUCUUCCCCAUAGAAGCUGAUCAAGCAGUUUCCUUCUCAACCGCCUUCUUUGCAGCCUCAAGAUCCUCAUCAAAGAACAUAUCCCAACGCCCAUCCCACUUGAUGAAAAACUCAGUCUCUUCGUAAUACUUCACUCUAUGCACAUCACCAGCCGGUGUAAACAAGUAAUCCCCAACAGUCAAAUCAAACCUUUCCCCUUUAGUCAGAUUCCACACACUCUUCUUCCCUUGGAGCACCACCAGAUCAUGCCCAAAUGUAUGGUGAUGCGCGGGCUCCACACUCCCGGCCUUAAACCUCACAAUGGCCGAUGUCGGACUCUCCCUAAUAAUCUUCAUUGACCCACCGGGAAUCAUUUCCACAGGAUUCAAUUCCCUGUUCUUAACUAAACAACAUAUGCUACAAGUACUGCUACUAGAAUCACUAUCUAAUUUAUCAUUUUUACCAAUAAGGGGCAUUUCGGUCAUCGAUUUGUCGAAAAAACACGAUAUGUUCUCUUCCCAUGGCUUAAAACCCGACGCGGGGCAUGGGGCUUUAAAAGGGGUUUUAAGCCACGUGUCCAGGAUUUCGACGGCGGAUUCUUUGGAAGUGGACAUACCUGAGACGGCGAGGACGUUGCAGUUGUUGAUGGAGCGGGUGUUGAGGGCGUCGGCGGGAGUGAGACAUGUGGUGGCGAAGACGCCGGGGUUUUUGUUGGCGAAGAUUGCGACGCCGACUCCAGUUCCGCAGGCGACGAGGCCGCGUGUGGUGGUGUCGGACGAAUCGGAGGAGGAGACGCGGCGGCCGACCUCGGCGCCGAUGGAGUAGUAAUCGGAGGUGCCGAGAUCUUCCACGUCUAUGUUGAGUGACCGAAGGUGGGAGACCAAAGCGUCUUUCAAUUCAGCACCAAAGGAGUCGGCGCCGGCGAUGAUCUUGAGAGGGUGAGGAGCAGCGGCGGCAGCGUUUUCAGCCAUGGUUGACUAUGAGUUGACUAUUCUGAGGGAUAAGCUCAGUGGAGAGUCAGUUACUGAG